RNAcentral lists this RNase P RNA (301 nucleotides) under Candidatus Woesearchaeota archaeon. Its description in RNAcentral is "RNase P RNA component". It matches the Rfam family "Archaeal RNase P". From Rfam's summary of the family: Ribonuclease P (RNase P) is a ubiquitous endoribonuclease, found in archaea, bacteria and eukarya as well as chloroplasts and mitochondria. Its best characterised activity is the generation of mature 5'-ends of tRNAs by cleaving the 5'-leader elements of precursor-tRNAs. Lineage: Archaea; Nanobdellati; Candidatus Woesearchaeota. The record is from RNAcentral.
GUAGGUAAGUGCCUGACUAACCUUUGAGGAGGAAAGUCCACACACAAAUAUCGGUCGCUUAAUUUAAGUCGAGGAAACUCGAGGCAACCGCUCAGAAAUGGCACGUCCUUACAUUGUUUAAUAAUGAGGCUUGCGAAGUUUCUUGGCAACAAGAGAUGAGUUAACCAGCUGAAUAGAUGUAAGGGAACGAUGAGACAGCGGAGCACGACUUUGUGCAAGUUUUUGAAACGCUUAGUCGAAUGUCAGGAUACAUUGUCCAUUUAAGUGGAAUGUUAACAGAAUGUGGCUUACACUUACCUAC